GUGUGAUUCUGCUGCAUUCUGAUUCAGACACGCUCAAAGGGCUUAGUGUGAAGCAGGUGCAUCACCUGGUUGGGGACUGGGGUCUGAGGACAGUGUCUCAGCUGAGCCCCAGUGGUGCACCUGGGCUGGCUCAAAAGCCUCCCUUGCUGGGGCCUCCAGCCCCUGGUGCAAUGGCAGAAGGAGCCAUCUGCUCAGGAAAGCAACUGAGCAUUGGGGGGCUCCUGAUGCAGAUGUGUUUGUGGAUGUUUUGUCCUGAGGUGGCCCUCAAGCUGUUUCCUGUGGUUUGGUUUGGAUAUGCACCAAGUUGGAGCAGUCAGAGUAUAAUCUGUGCCAACUAAGUAAAUCUAUGAUGGCCUCACUAAGGGAGAAGCUCAUGUUCAACAGGUGGUAGGCUUAUGAGUAUUUCUAAGUCACAACCUGGAGGGAAGGAGUGGGGGUCCUGAGCACCCAGUGGACCGUCUCUGCUUGCUUUCCAUCCAUAGCGUAGACCCCUGCCCACGAAAAUGUAGAAUAAAGGCACUGUGUCCACUUAAAUAAAAAAAAUAAAUAUUAAAAAAACGGGGUACCCCCCCAUUCUUUUUGUUUUGCCACUGACCACACCGUUCACAGUCAGGGCCAGUCAGGGUCUCUCGGCUGGGAUCAGUGAGUCCUGACCCACACAAUGUGGAAUGGUGCACAUGGGCAUCCUUUUUUUUUUAGUAUGGAUAGAUAUUUUGCUCAGCCGUGUCAGUUGAUGGGCCCUUGGUGGUUUUGGGGUCUGGCUGCUGGGAGAUUUGAGCAAGCCACAU
Molecule: long non-coding RNA, 788 nt
Filed under: Marmota monax (woodchuck)
Lineage: Eukaryota; Metazoa; Chordata; Mammalia; Rodentia; Sciuridae
Source: RNAcentral